GACGAACGCUGGCGGCGUGCUUAACACAUGCAAGUCGAACGGAAAGGCCCUGCUUGCAGGGUACUCGAGUGGCGAACGGGUGAGUAACACGUGGGUUAUCUGCCCUGCACUUCGGGAUAAGCCUGGGAAACUGGGUCUAAUACCGGAUAGGAGCCAUUUUUAGUGUGAUGGUUGGAAAGUUUUUUCGGUGUAGGAUGAGCUCGCGGCCUAUCAGCUUGUUGGUGGGGUAAUGGCCUACCAAGGCGGCGACGGGUAGCCGGCCUGAGAGGGUGGACAGCCACAUUGGGACUGAGAUACGGCCCAGACUCCUACGGGAGGCAGCAGUGGGGAAUAUUGCACAAGGGGCGCAAGCCUGAUGCAGCGACGCCGCGUGGGGGAUGACGACCUUCGGGUUGUAAACUCCUUUCGCUAGGGACGAAGCUUUUUGUGACGGUACCUAGAGAAGAAGCACCGGCUAACUACGUG
RNAcentral lists this ribosomal RNA (465 nucleotides) under uncultured bacterium. RNAcentral describes it as "partial 16S ribosomal RNA". It matches the Rfam family "Bacterial small subunit ribosomal RNA", at positions 28 to 507 of the family's 1533-position model. The record is from RNAcentral.